Molecule: ribosomal RNA, 274 nt
Filed under: uncultured bacterium
Lineage: Bacteria
Description: partial 16S ribosomal RNA
Rfam family: Bacterial small subunit ribosomal RNA
Source: RNAcentral
AUACGGAGGGUGCAAGCGUUGUUCGGAAUCACUGGGCGUAAAGGGCGCGCAGGCGGUUUGGUAAGUCGGAUGUGAAAGCCCCGGGCUCAACCCGGGAAGUGCGUCCGAUACUGGCAGACUUGAGUACGGGAGAGGGUAGCGGAAUUCCCGGUGUAGAGGUGAAAUUCGUAGAUAUCGGGAGGAACACCAGUGGCGAAGGCGGCUACCUGGACCGAUACUGACGCUGAGACGCGAAAGCGUGGGGAGCAAACAGGAUUAGAUACCCCUGUAGUCC